CAGCAGCCGCGGGAAUACGAAGGGUGCAAGCGUUAAUCGGAAUUACUGGGCGUAAAGCGUGCGUAGGCGGUUUGUUAAGUCUGCUGUGAAAUCCCCGGGCUCAACCUGGGAAUGGCAGUGGAUACUGGCAAGCUAGAGUGUGUCAGAGGAUGGUGGAAUUCCCGGUGUAGCGGUGAAAUGCGUAGAGAUCGGGAGGAACAUCAGUGGCGAAGGCGGCCAUCUGGGACAACACUGACGCUGAGGCACGAAAGCGUGGGGAGCAAACAGGAUUAGACACCCAGUAGUCCCUGUCUCUUAUACA
This 301-nucleotide ribosomal RNA is filed under the name uncultured bacterium. Its description in RNAcentral is "partial 16S ribosomal RNA". It matches the Rfam family "Bacterial small subunit ribosomal RNA", at positions 509 to 808 of the family's 1533-position model. The record is from RNAcentral.